GACGAACGCUGGCGGCGUGCUUAACACAUGCAAGUCGAACGGUGAAGCGCCUUCCUUUUUGGUGGGUGUGGAUGAGUGGCGAACGGGUGAGUAACACGUGAGUAACCUGCCCCCUUCUUCUGGAUAACCGCAUGAAAGUGUGGCUAAUACGGGAUAUUCUGGGUCUGUCGCAUGAUGGGUCUGGGAAAGAUAUUGUUUCGGUGGGGGAUGGGCUCGCGGCCUAUCAGCUUGUUGGUGGGGUGAUGGCCUACCAAGGCGGUGACGGGUAGCCGGCCUGAGAGGGUGGACGGUCACACUGGGACUGAGACACGGCCCAGACUCCUACGGGAGGCAGCAGUGGGGAAUAUUGCACAAUGGGCGCAAGCCUGAUGCAGCGACGCCGCGUGAGGGAUGGAGGCCUUCGGGUUGUGAACCUCUUUCGCCAGUGAAGCAGGCCUGCCUCGUUUGUGGGUGGGUUGAGGGUAGCUGGAUAAGAAGCGCCGGCUAACUACGUG
RNAcentral lists this ribosomal RNA (494 nucleotides) under uncultured bacterium. Its description in RNAcentral is "partial 16S ribosomal RNA". It matches the Rfam family "Bacterial small subunit ribosomal RNA", at positions 28 to 507 of the family's 1533-position model. The record is from RNAcentral.